RNAcentral lists this ribosomal RNA (465 nucleotides) under uncultured bacterium. Its description in RNAcentral is "partial 16S ribosomal RNA". It matches the Rfam family "Bacterial small subunit ribosomal RNA", at positions 339 to 795 of the family's 1533-position model. The record is from RNAcentral.
CUACGGGUUGCUGCAGUGGGGAAUAUUGGACAAUGGGGGAAACCCUGAUCCAGCAAUGCCGCGUGUGUGAAGAAGGCCUGCGGGUUGUAAAGCACUUUCGGUUGGGAGGACUGCUUCUAGCACUAAUAUUGUUGGAAGUUGACGUUACCUUCAGAAGAAGCACUGGCUAACUCCGUGCCAGCAGCCGCAGUAAUACGGAGGGUGCAAGCGUUAAUCGGAAUUACUGGGCGUAAAGCGCGCGUAGGCGGCUAGAUCAGUCGGGUGUGAAAGCCCCGGGCUUAACCUGGGAACUGCAUCCGAUACUGGCUAGCUUGAGUACAGGAGAGGAGAGUGGAAUUCCACAUGUAGCGGUGAAAUGCGUAGAUAUGUGGAGGAACACCAAUGGCGAAGGCAGCUCUCUGGCCUGAUACUGACGCUGAGGUGCGAAAGCGUGGGGAGCAAACAGGAUUAGAUACCCCCGUAGUC